GGAGGAAUACCCAAGUUCGGCUGAAGGGAUCGGUCUUGAAAACCGACAGGCGGGUCAAACCGCGCGGGGGUUCGAAUCCCUCUUCCUCCU
Bacillus sp. MRMR6 is the source of this 90-nucleotide transfer RNA. It matches the Rfam family "tRNA". From Rfam's summary of the family: Transfer RNA (tRNA) molecules are approximately 80 nucleotides in length. Lineage: Bacteria; Bacillati; Bacillota; Bacilli; Caryophanales; Bacillaceae. The record is from Rfam.